This 344-nucleotide ribosomal RNA is filed under the name uncultured soil bacterium. RNAcentral describes it as "bacterial SSU rRNA". It matches the Rfam family "Bacterial small subunit ribosomal RNA", at positions 26 to 396 of the family's 1533-position model. The record is from RNAcentral.
AGAACGAACGCUGGCGGCAGGCUUAACACAUGCAAGUCGAACGCCCCGCAAGGGGAGUGGCAGACGGGUGAGUAACGCGUGGGAACCUACCCAAUUCUACGGAACAACUGAGGGAAACUUCAGCUAAUACCGUAUACGCCCUACGGGGGAAAGAUUUAUCGGAGUUGGAUGGGCCCGCGUUGGAUUAGCUAGUUGGUGAGGUAACGGCUCACCAAGGCGACGAUCCAUAGCUGGUCUGAGAGGAUGAUCAGCCACACUGGGACUGAGACACGGCCCAGACUCCGUACGGGAGGCAGCAGUGGGGAAUAGUUGGACAAGUGGGCGCAAGCCUGAUCCAGCCAUCG